UCAAGCGAAUAAGUGCAUAUGGUGGAUGCCUUGGCGAUCACAGGCGAAGAAGGACGUUGUAGCCUGCGAAAAGCUGCGGGGAGCUGGCAAACAAGCUUUGAUCCGCAGAUGUCCGAAUGGGGAAACCCACUCCAGCGAUGGAGUAUCGUUAUCUGAAUACAUAGGGUAACGAGGCGAACCGGGUGAACUGAAACAUCUCAGUAGCUCGAGGAAAAGAAAUCAACCGAGAUUCCGGCAGUAGCGGCGAGCGAAACCGGAGCAGCCUUGACGAGUUAGCACAGUCGAUAGUCGAACGGUCUGGAAAGGCCGGCCGCAGCAUGGUGAUAGCCCUGUAGACGAAAUCGAAUGUGUGGGACUAGGCGUCAGAUAAGUAGGGCGGGACACGUGAAAUCCUGUCUGAAGAUGGGGGGACCAUCCUCCAAGGCUAAAUACUCGUGAUCGACCGAUAGUGAACCAGUACCGUGAGGGAAAGGCGAAAAGAACCCCGGAAGGGGAGUGAAAUAGAUCCUGAAACCGUAUGCAUACAAACAGUAGGAGCCUCCUUGAGGGGUGACUGCGUACCUUUUGUAUAAUGGGUCAGCGACUUACAUUCAGUGGCAAGCUUAACCGGAUAGGGAAGGCGUAGCGAAAGCGAGUCCGAACAGGGCGAUUCAGUCGCUGGGUGUAGACCCGAAACCAGGCGAUCUAUCCAUGGCCAGGUUGAAGGCACGGUAACACGUGCUGGAGGACCGAACCCACUAACGUUGAAAAGUUAGGGGAUGAGCUGUGGAUAGGGGUGAAAGGCUAAACAAGCCUGGAGAUAGCUGGUUCUCUCCGAAAACUAUUUAGGUAGUGCCUCACAUGAUUACUGCCGGGGGUAGAGCACUGUUAUAGCUAGGGGGUCAUGGCGACUUACCAACCUAUGGCAAACUCCGAAUACCGGCAAGUACAGUGUGGGAGACAGAGCACCGGGUGCUAACGUCCGGACUCAAGAGGGAAACAACCCAGACCGCCAGCUAAGGUCCCUAAAAUUGGCUAAGUGGGAAACGAAGUGGGAAGGCUAAAACAGUCAGGAUGUUGGCUUAGAAGCAGCCAUCAUUUAAAGAAAGCGUAAUAGCUCACUGAUCGAGUCGUCCUGCGCGGAAGAUGUAACGGGGCUAAGCCAGUUACCGAAGCUGCGGGUGUGCACGCAAGUGCACGCGGUAGGAGAGCGUUCUGUAAGCCUGCGAAGGUGGCUUGUAAAGGCUGCUGGAGGUAUCAGAAGUGCGAAUGCUGACAUGAGUAGCGAUAAAGGGGGUGAAAAGCCCCCUCGCCGUAAGUCCAAGGUUUCCUGCGCAACGUUCAUCGGCGCAGGGUGAGUCGGCCCCUAAGGCGAGGCAGAGAUGCGUAGCUGAUGGGAAGCUGGUUAAUAUUCCAGUACCGUCGUGAGAUGCGAUGGGGGGACGGAUGGCAGAAGGUCAUCGGGGUGUUGGAUGUCCCCGUUGCUGCAUCGAAGAAGGCGCUUAGGUAAAUCCGGGCGCGUAAUUCAAGGGUGUGGCUGGACAGGAACUUCGGUUCCUGGACUGAUUGGAAGUUGUCCCAGGAAAAGCCUCUAAGCUUCAGUCUCACGAGACCGUACCGCAAACCGACACAGGUGGACGGGAUGAAUAUUCCAAGGCGCUUGAGAGAACUCAGGAGAAGGAACUCGGCAAAUUGAUACCGUAACUUCGGGAGAAGGUAUGCCCUUGUAGUGUGACAGGCUCGCGCCUGGAGCAUGAAGGGGCCGCAGAGAAUCGGUGGCUGCGACUGUUUAUUAAAAACACAGCACUCUGCAAAGACGAAAGUCGACGUAUAGGGUGUGACGCCUGCCCGGUGCCGGAAGGUUAAGUGAUGGGGUGCAAGCUCUUGAUCGAAGCCCCGGUAAACGGCGGCCGUAACUAUAACGGUCCUAAGGUAGCGAAAUUCCUUGUCGGGUAAGUUCCGAC
This 1943-nucleotide ribosomal RNA is filed under the name sludge metagenome. RNAcentral's name for it is "bacterial LSU rRNA". It matches the Rfam family "Bacterial large subunit ribosomal RNA", at positions 3 to 1987 of the family's 2925-position model. The record is from RNAcentral.